Molecule: long non-coding RNA, 550 nt
Filed under: Triticum aestivum (bread wheat)
Lineage: Eukaryota; Viridiplantae; Streptophyta; Magnoliopsida; Poales; Poaceae
Description: long non-coding RNA (TAES_LNC016706)
Source: RNAcentral
GGAAAAGCCCAGCCGUGCGCAAUUCCCUUUUCCUUUUCCAUCCCCUCCUCCUCCGCUGCAGCUGCCCUGCUGCUUCCCCUCCCCCUCCUCGCCGAGGCGCCUCACGAGCGCUGUGCCCGCACGAGCGCCGCGAGGGAGGUGGCUAGUACGACGAGGCGUCGCGCCAGCACUAGCACCGCGAGGUCAAAGGGCAGCAACAGGCAAUACGGCGAGGCGCAGCAACCGCACGGGCUCCGCGAGUUCCAGGGCCGGAAGCGGCCAAUACGGCGAGGCGGUGCCUGUCUGGCGGCCGUACGGCCUCCGCCGCGUGCGCGACCUUGCUCCUGCGCCUCCUACCCGGGCUGGACCUCCCCCCGUGCGUCGUCCCCACCCGCAUCACCAAGCUUCCCAACGGCGUCCGCGACUCCGCGUCGCCUCCGAGGAUGUCCAGGUACUACCCACCUCCCCCUCCCCUCUUCCUUCCGAUGAGUCCAUGGCUGACAGCGGCACCGUCUCCGAGCUCACGAACACCUGGAUUUGACAGGGAGCAGCACAGGGAUGGCGAAUUNNN